This is a long non-coding RNA of Heterocephalus glaber (naked mole-rat), 2419 nucleotides long. The record is from Ensembl. Lineage: Eukaryota; Metazoa; Chordata; Mammalia; Rodentia; Bathyergidae.
CAGCAGAGAUUCGAGUAUUUGAGCAAAGAAUCCAGCGGGAACCCUGAGACGAUGAGACGAGAUCGGCUGCAGCAGCCGCGGGUCCCCGUUAUGCAAGAGCGCGCAGCUGGCUCUAAUGGCAGUCAUUUCGCUCCCUAACCCAGCCGGCGGCCAGUCCCUAAUCUCCGAGUCCUGAGUUUGAGACCCAAAUUGAGCAGUUUGAGGGACGGCGGCGCAGCUUCCGCUCAGAACACGCCGCGCUCCGCCACUCGUGUGUGGCUUCCAGGCCAGUUUCCCUCGGCCCAGCCGCCCGGGCACCGUGCUGGGGAGCGGUUCGGCCCCGCCUGCGCUGCUGCUUCUGAUAACCUCCGGGGGGCGGGGAGGGCGGGGUGCUCAGCGGGGCUCCAGAACUCCGGUGCCUCAUGAAAUGGACCGCUUCGACCCCCGCCCCGUUUCUCCUCACCUCCCCUUUCACUUCUUGAAUUUGUACAGCGGCUACUGAGGCACCUCGUCCUGCAAUCCAGGGCCCCACGGGCCUUCCGACCGACCUGCAAGCUCAAUCGACGUUGGCCCAACUUUCCUUUUGUCCACGUGGGAGCAGUAACAGGCUCCCCUUUUUCACCCAGCCUGGGAGUGUCAAUGGAGGCCUGGCCAUGGUCGGUGUAACCCUGAACCUCAACCCCACCUAGAACUGCCUUGAAGUCCCCUGCGCAGCAGCCACGAAGCUCCCAGCUGACGGCGUACAAUUCCCAACCCAUUUCUGCUGGCGGCACCGCAGGAUCUAAGGGAGGCAGCAUUGUCUCCUGGAAGUCUCCAAACGCAGGGUGCAGAAAGGUCUGCUGGGGACUCCAUCCAUGCCAUCAAUUGACCAGAAAAGCAAAUGUAGCUCCUCUGGGCUUUGAAGCCAAAUAGAGUACAAGAUCUGGUUCCCAGGGACAUUCCUCCUCUGUGUAAUCUAUCCCUUAAACUAUCUGCUUUUCAUUCACUAGACAAAUGGUGGCUGAGUGUCGCUAGAGGCAGGGCCUGACUCUGUAGAGGGGACAGAACCCAGCAGCAACCUAAUGGAAGGGAUUAGGUCCUGCACGAAGGAGCGAUGCCACAGAUUUGGAAGUGGCACUCUUCAGCUAAUGGGACUGAUAAUGGUUUUGCCCUAAAGAGCAAGAGUCUUAAUAUGUUCAGGCUCGGGAAAAGGGAUUGGAGAGGAUCCUGGUUACUCAGGGACCAGUGAGGGCUCCUCGGGCAAUUUAGUGGGCCCAGGUUCUGAGCAAAUGACCUGACUGUGGUUAGGAGCCUGAGGGUCAGGAGCAUGAAAGGGACCCCCAGCACAUAAGACCCUGCGAUUAAGAAGAAAGAUUUGUGUACGGUAUGGUGGCACAUGCCUGUAAUCCCAGCAUUUGGGAGGCUGAGUCAGGAAGAUCUCUUUGAGUUCAAGGACAUCCUGGGUUACAUAGUGAGUUCAAGGCCAGACUGAACUACACAGCAAGACCCAGUGUGAGAAAGAAGGGAGAGAGAGCGAGAGAGAGCGCUAUGUGUUUAGGCCAGAGGCAAUGCCCACUGGUGAAGUGGGUACAUACUCUGGAGCUCUCACUCUGUGCUCAGCUCACCUGACAGGGACAGUAAUCUGCAGGUCUACUUGACUCUAGGACCCAGAUUGGGUCAUUCUUCCCAGCUUGAGAGGCCCCAAAGUUGCCAAAACCCUCAGUCCCUGACAUAAUUAACCAUCUCUUAUUUUUUGCAUUCUGAUGCUUUGACCUGGGGGCUUCAUUGGCUGUGAAGAGACCACACCUCCUAGGUGAGCCAGUUCCUAGAGAUAGCAAACAAUUCCUCCAGGACUGUACAUCUUCAAAUGCAAACUCACCAAACCAAAACCCACCCUCGCCUACCCCCAGUGACCCCCUUUAUGGGGUCCUCACCCAUUGGCUACUGUCCAUCUGCCCUAGUCACCGAGGGCCAGGUACUAGACAACUAGGGAGAGUUCCAUGCCCCAGAGAUACUGAAAUUACUCAAACCAGCCAAUCCAAACCUGCUUACUUCCUGGUUGGCUCCUUCCAGGAAAACCACUGUACAGGCUCCUGAUUAUCUCUCCUCCCAUCUGCUCACCCUCACUUUGUUUUGGAGCCUAUGGUGGUAUGCCCCCACCUCUUGAAAACUGGGAGCAACAAAAAAAAAUUUGUUUUUUCAACAGCAGUGUCUUCUCCUCUGCUGGCCUCACUGUACCAGGAUUAACAUAACCUAUUAAAGCGUUGCCUCUCUUCUAACGUGGAGAAUAGACCCAUGUCUGGAGCACAGCCGCCCCAUCCUCUGGCUCCUUUCCUCCUCUUUGUUGUGGAAGGCGCCUCUGACAGCCCCUCCAAAGAAAAAGGCACACCUGUGAUGCCAGUACUCUGGGGUUACGGGAGGAGGAUCACAAAUUGGAGCCCAGCCUGGAUUUAGAGACUUG